RNAcentral lists this ribosomal RNA (550 nucleotides) under uncultured bacterium. Its description in RNAcentral is "partial 16S ribosomal RNA". It matches the Rfam family "Bacterial small subunit ribosomal RNA", at positions 355 to 899 of the family's 1533-position model. The record is from RNAcentral.
UGGGGAAUUUUGGACAAUGGGCGAAAGCCUGAUCCAGCAAUGCCGCGUGUGUGAAGAAGGCCUUCGGGUUGUAAAGCACUUUUGUCCGGAAAGAAAUCCUUGGCUCUAAUACAGUCGGGGGAUGACGGUACCGGAAGAAUAAGCACCGGCUAACUACGUGCCAGCAGCCGCGGUAAUACGUAGGGUGCAAGCGUUAAUCGGAAUUACUGGGCGUAAAGCGUGCGCAGGCGGUUUGCUAAGACCGAUGUGAAAUCCCCGGGCUCAACCUGGGAACUGCAUUGGUGACUGGCAGGCUAGAGUAUGGCAGAGGGGGGUAGAAUUCCACGUGUAGCAGUGAAAUGCGUAGAGAUGUGGAGGAAUACCGAUGGCGAAGGCAGCCCCCUGGGCCAAUACUGACGCUCAUGCACGAAAGCGUGGGGAGCAAACAGGAUUAGAUACCCUGGUAGUCCACGCCCUAAACGAUGUCACUAGUUGUUGGGGAUUCAUUUCCUUAGUAACGUAGCUAACGCGUGAAGUUGACCGCCUGGGGAGUACGGUCGCAAGAUUAAAA